RNAcentral lists this ribosomal RNA (986 nucleotides) under Plasmodium knowlesi. RNAcentral's name for it is "SSU rRNA". It matches the Rfam family "Eukaryotic small subunit ribosomal RNA", at positions 638 to 1428 of the family's 1831-position model. Lineage: Eukaryota; Apicomplexa; Aconoidasida; Haemosporida; Plasmodiidae. The record is from RNAcentral.
ACAUAACUGAUGCCUCCGCGUAUCGACUUUGUGCGCAUUUUAGCUAUUAUGUGUUCUUUUAAUUAAAAUGAUUCUUUUUAAGAUUCAUCUAUUAAAAAUUUGCUUCUGCAUAAUUUUUUUUGAUGAUCUUGUUACUUUGAGUAAAUUAGAGUGUUCAAGGCAAACAGAUAUAGCAUUUGUGCGUUUGAAUACUACAGCAUGGAAUAACAAAAUUGAACAAGUCAGAAUUUUUUUGUUCUUUUUUCUUAUUUUGGCUUAGUUACGAUUAAUAGGAGUAGCUUGGGGGCAUUUGUAUUCAGAUGUCAGAGGUGAAAUUCUUAGAUUUUCUGGAGACAAACAACUGCGAAAGCAUUUGCCUAAAAUACUUCCAUUAAUCAAGAACGAAAGUUAAGGGAGUGAAGACGAUCAGAUACCGUCGUAAUCUUAACCAUAAACUAUGCCGACUAGGCUUUGGAUGAAAGAUUUUAAAAUAAGAGUUUUUCUUUUCUCUCCGGAGAUUAGAACUCUUAGAUUGCUUCCUUCAGUGCCUUAUGAGAAAUCAAAGUCUUUGGGUUCUGGGGCGAGUAUUCGCGCAAGCGAGAAAGUUAAAAGAAUUGACGGAAGGGCACCACCAGGCGUGGAGCUUGCGGCUUAAUUUGACUCAACACGGGAAAACUCACUAGUUUAAGACAAGAGUAGGAUUGACAGAUUAAUAGCUCUUUCUUGAUUUCUUGGAUGGUGAUGCAUGGCCGUUUUAGUUCGUGAAUAUGAUUUGUCUGGUUAAUUCCGAUAACGAACGAGAUCUUAACCUGCUAAUUAGCGGCAAAUACGAUAUAUUCUUAUGUAGAAUUGAAUAUAGUGGAUUUGUUAGAUUUUGAAGAAAAUAUUGGAAUUACGUUAAAUGUGAUUCCUUUCCCUUUUCUACUUAAUUUACAUUUCCAUCUAUUUCUUUUUUGCGUAUGAAUGUAUUUGCUUGAUUGUAAAGCUUCUUAGAGGAACGAUGUGUG